RNAcentral lists this ribosomal RNA (466 nucleotides) under uncultured bacterium. Its description in RNAcentral is "partial 16S ribosomal RNA". It matches the Rfam family "Bacterial small subunit ribosomal RNA", at positions 28 to 507 of the family's 1533-position model. The record is from RNAcentral.
GACGAACGCUGGCGGCGCGCCUAACACAUGCAAGUCGAACGAGCGAGAGAGAGCUUGCUUUCUCGAGCGAGUGGCGAACGGGUGAGUAACGCGUGAGGAACCUGCCUCAAAGAGGGGGACAACAGUUGGAAACGACUGCUAAUACCGCAUAUGCCCACGACCCGGCAUCGGGUAGAGGGAAAAUGAGCAAUCCGCUUUGAGAUGGCCUCGCGUCCGAUUAUCUAUUUGGUGAGGUAACGGCCCACCAAGGCGACGAUCGGUAGCCGGACUGAGAGGUUGAACCGCCACCCUGGGACUGAGACCCGGCCCAGACUCUUACUGGAGGCAGCAGUGGGGAAUAUUGCACAAUGGGGGAAACCCUGAUGCAGCGACGCCGCAUGGAGGAAGAAGGUCUUCGGAUUGUAAACUCCUGUUGUUGAGGAAGAUAAUGACGGUACUCAACAAGGAAGUGACGGCUAACUACGUG